ACGUAUCACUCGUACACUCCGGCUGCUCCGCGGCGUCCACGCCCACCUGACGACUGCUCGCUACGUCCGGUAGCC
This 75-nucleotide small RNA is filed under the name Xanthomonas melonis. RNAcentral's name for it is "sX9 sRNA". It matches the Rfam family "Xanthomonas sRNA sX9". The record is from RNAcentral. Lineage: Bacteria; Pseudomonadati; Pseudomonadota; Gammaproteobacteria; Lysobacterales; Lysobacteraceae.